Long non-coding RNA from Aegilops tauschii subsp. strangulata, 1003 nucleotides. RefSeq lists it as uncharacterized. The record is from RefSeq and is a predicted model, not a curated record. NCBI's taxonomy places the organism in Eukaryota, Viridiplantae, Streptophyta, Magnoliopsida, Poales, Poaceae.
AUCCUCCAUCCCCCAAUUCAAUCCUAUCCAUCUCCCUCUCCCUUGUCCGCCGCCACCACCGGCAACCUUGAUGCCCCUCUCCCCAACUGCCAGCGCCACCGCACCCACCCUCUCCCCCAUCCCCUGCUCUCACCUUCUCUCCUUAAACUAGGCGGCCACCAGAACGAGCACCAAGGCGCUUCCCGAUCUGCGGCGCUGCUUCCGGAUCCGCCGAGCAGAGCCAGAGGUCGGCUCCUUCUCCGCGUUGUUCUGCGCCAAGGUUUACCUCCUCUUCCUUCUCCGCGUGGUCCAUGGCGCUAAUCCCGGACGGUGAGGCACUCAAUACCAUGGCCGGACGGAGGUUGGGCGAUUUCCCUCCCUGACAUCGCCGCCUAGCCACUCCACCGCGAGCUUCUCGCCCCCAGUGGCGUCCAAGACGUCCUCCUCCUCGAUGCAGCCGUUCCCAACGAGCUCUCUUUGCCGGAUGAGGUGCAGCAGCAAGUCCAGCACCCCCUUGGCCCCUGCAUCCUAUCCUACAUCGCCUGGACGAGCUCAUGCACUGAUGUAUGCGUCCUCCUUACGUCCUAGCGUGAUAUUGGUUUAUGGGAGCGUUUUCAGCAACAAAGACAUGAUGAUCGGUUCCACGGCCAGGAACGCGGGAUGACCACUGGUUGACGUCCGCCGAGCAUUGUGCGUUGCUUGAUCACUAGUAGAAAAGGGGGCUUUUGUCCUGGUUGGUAAGGGCCUUUAGUCCCGGUUUUUAAAUCGAGACUAAAGGGUCGUUACUAAUGCCUCCGGUCGUUACUAAUGUGAAUAUUGCCCUGUGACGAAAGCCCUGUUUUGUACUAGUGGAUGGGUGUGGUGCUGGCUGUAGGGUACCAUAGUGUUCUUUGAGACAUGCUUGUAGAAUUAUUCUUUUUUGGGUCCUUUUUUUGCUCCUGUAUAGGUGUAUUUUUGGGUGUGUUUAUGUAAUUUUUUGUUGACAUGAGCAUAUAUUUUCUGUUAAAUUAUUAUUGGCUUAUAA